This 109-nucleotide microRNA precursor is filed under the name Canis lupus familiaris (dog). RNAcentral's name for it is "mir-8834 microRNA precursor family". It matches the Rfam family "mir-8834 microRNA precursor family". The record is from Rfam by way of RNAcentral. Lineage: Eukaryota; Metazoa; Chordata; Mammalia; Carnivora; Canidae. RNAcentral also lists the same sequence under 1 other name.
AGGAGGAAGAACCCCAGUGGGGGGUGGGCCGCUCUGGAGUCCUGGAUUCAGCCCCCCGCAGUAUCUACGGAGCUCUCCGUCUGCAGGGGCCUGGAUGCUCUGGGGGCGG